Myotis myotis is the source of this 265-nucleotide long non-coding RNA. RefSeq lists it as uncharacterized. The record is from RefSeq and is a predicted model, not a curated record. NCBI's taxonomy places the organism in Eukaryota, Metazoa, Chordata, Mammalia, Chiroptera, Vespertilionidae. The transcript has 3 exons.
CAAAGAUGCUGCCAUGAGUUACAGGAACAGCUCUUUCCUCUCCUGGGACUGUGGCUCCUUGGAGAGAAGGUUAGCUCUCCUUCCUUAGAUCAGACCACUGGAGCUUAGAAAGAUCAAGUGACUUACCUGAGACAACGUAGCUGUCAACAGCAAAUUUGAGACUCCAGCUGGUUGCCUGCUGCAUGCACAGACCUUGAUGCUGAAGCUGCUGCUCCGAGGGACAAGACCAGAGAGUCGCAGAGACACCAACUCUGACCUCAUAAAG